GGAUGUAAGGGUAAUCUGCUUGUGACAUCUGUCACCCCAGUGAUCACCAGGUUGAUUCCGCUGAUCUAGCUGGCUAGGCAGGUAUCCCCUUCCUCCCUCACUACGCCAUGUGCAUCAUUCCUGAAGCUGCAUGCUUGGUCAAUGCCUUUCCUGAAAUAGAGGAGGACUGGGCAAGGGUAUACAAGCAGCUACACUCUCCUGCUAGAACUCCCAAAUACUACCCAGAGAAUUAACCAAAUUCUGUGACAAAGGAUUAAUUUAUUCAUGGGGGCUCCACCCCCACUACCCAAAUGUCUCUAU
This is a non-coding RNA of Mesocricetus auratus (golden hamster), 300 nucleotides long. The record is from Rfam. NCBI's taxonomy places the organism in Eukaryota, Metazoa, Chordata, Mammalia, Rodentia, Cricetidae.